CCGCAGGUUGGAGAAGCCCAGGGGAAGGGGCACCGCGGGGAGAAGAAGCCAGGGUGGCCGGCCCGCCUCUGCUCCCACCCCGGGCAGCGGCGCAAAGCCCCAGGCAAGCGCUGGUAGGGAGCAUCUCGGUGCUUCCCAAGUAGUGAGCAUCAGUGACAGCUUUCAAAUACAUGUUGCCUGAGAAUAUCUGCCUUCUUCCAAGCAGGUGAGGAUACAGUGAGGAGGUGGCCCUCUGCCAACCAGGACCCUACAGGCACCCUGAUCUUCGACUUCCGGGCUCCAGAGCUGUAAAAACUACAUUUGUGGUGUCCAACUGCCCAGUCUACGGUCCUUUUGUUAAAGCCGUGCAAGCUAAGCAGGAUGCUUUUUCCCCUGGGAGUCCCAGAAGUACUUUGGACUCCGCUCAUUCUAAUGGGCAGUCGCUGUAGGCCUCUGGACGUGUCUUGGAGUCUCGUUUCUUCAUGAGUAAAGUCUAAGAGCUCAACUGGAGAAUCUCUCAAUCGACACCUUUUAAUCUAACACUUUUAUAUGCCUGCAUCCCAACUGGCAUUUG
This is a long non-coding RNA of Canis lupus familiaris (dog), 553 nucleotides long. RefSeq lists it as uncharacterized. The record is from RefSeq and is a predicted model, not a curated record. NCBI's taxonomy places the organism in Eukaryota, Metazoa, Chordata, Mammalia, Carnivora, Canidae. The transcript is spliced from 3 exons.